Molecule: ribosomal RNA, 498 nt
Filed under: Anguilla rostrata (American eel)
Lineage: Eukaryota; Metazoa; Chordata; Actinopteri; Anguilliformes; Anguillidae
Description: partial large subunit ribosomal RNA
Rfam family: Bacterial large subunit ribosomal RNA
Source: RNAcentral
CGCCUCUUGCUAACAAAGGAAGUACUAGAGGUCCCGCCUGCCCUGUGACCACAAAGUUUAACGGCCGCGGUAUCCUGACCGUGCGAAGGUAGCGUAAUCAUUUGUCUUUUAAAUAGAGACCUGUAUGAAUGGCAUAACGAGGGUUUAACUGUCUCCUUCCCCCAGUCAAUGAAAUUGAUCUGCCCGUGCAGAAGCGGACAUAAAUACAUAAGACGAGAAGACCCUAUGGAGCUUUAGACAAAAGAUCAAACAUGUAAAGAAACCAAAACAACCAAAAGGAACACGAAGGCCACAAAACCCAACGUAAACUGAUCUAAAUGUCUUCGGUUGGGGCGACCAUGGGGGAAAGAAAAGCCCCCACGAGGAACAGGGACAACCCCUAAACUAAGAGGGACACCUCUAAGCAACAGAAAAUCUGACCAAAAUGACCCAGGAUACUAAUCCUGAUCAACGAACCAAGUUACCCUAGGGAUAACAGCGCAAUCCUUUCCCAGAGUC